AUCAGAGACAGAAAGACAAGAUAACACCAGAGACAACCUGAUGGUGAGAGGCAGGCACAGGAAAGUAAACAACAGAAGUCAUGACUACUUGGCAUCAUCAGAGACCCAUUCUCCGACCAAAGCAGAUACUAUACAACCAAACCCAAAGAAAAAGAAAGAUUUGGAUUUAAAACCACAUCUCAUGAUCAUGAUAGAGGACAUUAAGAAGGAUAUAAAUAACUCCCUUAAAGAAAGACUGGACAACACAGGUAAAUGAGUAGAAGCCCUUAAAGAGGAAACACAAAAAUCCCUAAAAUAAUUACGAGAAAACACAAUCAAACAGGUGAAGGAAUUGAAGAAAACCUAUCAGGAUUAAAAUGGAAAUAGAAACAAUAAAAAAAGCACAAA
RNAcentral lists this long non-coding RNA (387 nucleotides) under Rattus norvegicus (Norway rat). RNAcentral describes it as "long non-coding RNA NONRATT030639". Lineage: Eukaryota; Metazoa; Chordata; Mammalia; Rodentia; Muridae. The record is from RNAcentral.